RNAcentral lists this ribosomal RNA (253 nucleotides) under uncultured bacterium. Its description in RNAcentral is "partial 16S ribosomal RNA". It matches the Rfam family "Bacterial small subunit ribosomal RNA", at positions 524 to 776 of the family's 1533-position model. The record is from RNAcentral.
UACGGAGGGGGCUAGCGUUGUUCGGAAUUACUGGGCGUAAAGGGUGCGCAGGCCGCGCGGGCAGUCAAAUGUGUAAUUCAGGGGCUCAACCCCUGCACUGCGCUUGAUACUUUCGCGCUCGAGCUUUGGAGAGGAGUCUGGAAUUCUCGGUGUAGCAGUGAAAUGCGUGGAUAUCGAGAAGAACACUUAGGGCGUAGGCAAGACUCUGGACAAAUGCUGACGCUCAUGCACGAAGGCUAGGGUAGCGAACGGG